This 219-nucleotide unclassified non-coding RNA is filed under the name uncultured cyanobacterium. Its description in RNAcentral is "partial contains 16S ribosomal RNA and 16S-23S ribosomal RNA intergenic spacer". The stretch from base 1 to 100 matches the Rfam family "Bacterial small subunit ribosomal RNA", at positions 1434 to 1533 of the family's 1533-position model. The record is from RNAcentral. Lineage: Bacteria; Bacillati; Cyanobacteriota.
UCCAACCGCAAGGAGGGGAGCGCCGAAGGCAGGGCUGGUGACUGGGGUGAAGUCGUAACAAGGUAGCCGUACUGGAAGGUGCGGCUGGAUCACCUCCUUUUAGGGAGACCUACCCACUCAGGCAACCGGUAUAGUUUAGGUUGGUGAGUCGGGUCAUCCCAAGGUCAAGCAAGGGCAGUUUUUGCUGAACUUUCAAACCUAGGGUCCGGGGCACGGGCU